AAGGAUCAUUACUGAGGUUUCGCGGCGCAAGCUGGGGAGAACCCGACCUAUUGUCAUUUGCACGUUGGGGAGGAACGGUGGCGUGUUGGCGUGUGGCUUGUGACGGAUCGUACCCGAGAGGGUGGAUCUGGAGCGGCCCGCGUUGCCGCUGGCGCCCUGACGAACCUGAACUUCGGCGGAAGAGGUAGGCUGGACCUGCCCGCCGCCGGCCGUAACUUAUUUUACUCUGCGACGAGAAUCUGAAGCCUGAUGUACGAAAAACAAAAUGAAAAGCAAAACUUUCAACAACGGAUCUCUUGGCUCUG
RNAcentral lists this unclassified non-coding RNA (305 nucleotides) under uncultured fungus. RNAcentral's name for it is "partial contains 18S rRNA, ITS1, 5.8S rRNA, ITS2 and 28S rRNA". Lineage: Eukaryota; Fungi. The record is from RNAcentral.